Molecule: unclassified non-coding RNA, 302 nt
Filed under: Hevea brasiliensis (rubber tree)
Lineage: Eukaryota; Viridiplantae; Streptophyta; Magnoliopsida; Malpighiales; Euphorbiaceae
Source: RNAcentral
GGCAUGCAUGAUGUGUCAAUCUUGAAUGGUAUUAGUCAGCAUAAUUUACCUUGAAGCUUGGUCGAAAUUCAUGAUUGGAAAAUUAAAAUUUGAUUGUAGAGAAAAUUCUAGGAUUACUUUUAUUGGAUCAGAAUACAUUUUAUUUGGCUAAUAUAAACUAUAUUUGGGCAAAUUAUAAGAUGCACGAGCAAUGUAUCAUUAUUCAUAAAAAGUCAGUUGUUUCUUGAAUUGAAUAGUAUAAGACCACCAAUGAUUCAUUGGCCUAGUGAUUAAUGAUGGCGUGGGCUUGGGAGAGAUCCCAG